UACGAAGGGUGCAAGCGUUACUCGGACUUACUGGGCGUAAAGCGUGCGUAGGUGGUGAGUUAAGUCUGAUGUGAAAUCCCCGGGCUCAACCUGGGAAUGGCAUUGGAUACUGGCUCGCUAGAGUGCGGUAGAGGGUGGUGGAAUUCCUGGUGUAGCAGUGAAAUGCGUAGAGAUCGGGAGGAACAUCUGUGGCGAAGGCGGCCACCUGGACCAACACUGACACUGAGGCACGAAAGCGUGGGGAGCAAACAGG
Molecule: ribosomal RNA, 253 nt
Filed under: uncultured bacterium
Lineage: Bacteria
Description: partial 16S ribosomal RNA
Rfam family: Bacterial small subunit ribosomal RNA
Source: RNAcentral